This is a long non-coding RNA of Pogoniulus pusillus (Red-fronted tinkerbird), 535 nucleotides long. RefSeq lists it as uncharacterized. The transcript is spliced from 4 exons. NCBI's taxonomy places the organism in Eukaryota, Metazoa, Chordata, Aves, Piciformes, Lybiidae. The record is from RefSeq and is a predicted model, not a curated record.
CUGCCCUAUUUAAGCAGCCCCAGGACAGGCAGCAGCCCCAAGCUUGCCCAACUGGGCAGAGGAUCCUCCUCCUGUCACCACAGCAGCACCAGGACUGGAGCUGGCAGCAUUUGGAGCAGCACUGAGGGGACCUGGAGGCAAUGUCUGAGGAUCUCUGAACAGUGUCUUUCAGGUUGACAACCCCAAGUCUUCCUCCUCAAGGCUGCUCUCAAGCCACUCCUCAUCCAGGCUGUGUUUGUGCUGGAGUUUGCUCCAACCCAGCUGCAGGACUUUGCACUUGGAGGAAGACAACACAGCCUUUAGGAAGCUUUGUGAUCAAAGUGUUGGAUAGCUCCCCCCCACCCCAAUCAUUAAUCACCAAAUGAAUGCACUCUUGUUCAAGUGAAUUCCAGCAUGGACAUCAUAUGACAGCACCCAGGGGAAGCUUGUUGAUGUGAUAGACCAAAGUAGUGUUUGUCUUCAUCACAAGCUGGCAUUGUUCAUUGAUCUUUGGAGGGCUGAGCUGAUAGGUCUCUUGGUCAAGCUUCAGGGCUCA